UACGUAGGGUGCGAGCGUUAAUCGGAAUUACUGGGCGUAAAGCGUGCGCGGGCGGUUAUAUAAGACAGAUGUGAAAGCCCCGGGCUCAACCUGGGAAGUGCAUUGGAUACUGGAAGACUUGAGUACGGGAGAGGGUAGUGGAAUUCCUAGUGUAGGAGUGAAAUCCGUAGAUAUUCGGAGGAACACCAGUGGCGAAGGCGGCUCACUGGUCCAUUACUGACGCUGAGGUGCGAAAGCGUGGGGAGCAAACAGGAUUAGAAA
RNAcentral lists this ribosomal RNA (261 nucleotides) under uncultured bacterium. RNAcentral describes it as "partial 16S ribosomal RNA". It matches the Rfam family "Bacterial small subunit ribosomal RNA", at positions 524 to 784 of the family's 1533-position model. The record is from RNAcentral.